This 2906-nucleotide ribosomal RNA is filed under the name Klebsiella michiganensis. RNAcentral describes it as "23S ribosomal RNA". It matches the Rfam family "Bacterial large subunit ribosomal RNA". The record is from RNAcentral. Lineage: Bacteria; Pseudomonadati; Pseudomonadota; Gammaproteobacteria; Enterobacterales; Enterobacteriaceae.
GGUUAAGCGACUAAGCGUACACGGUGGAUGCCCUGGCAGUCAGAGGCGAUGAAGGACGUGCUAAUCUGCGAAAAGCGUCGGUAAGGUGAUAUGAACCGUUACAGCCGGCGAUGUCCGAAUGGGGAAACCCAGUGCAAUUCGUUGCACUAUCGUUAACUGAAUACAUAGGUUAACGAGGCGAACCGGGGGAACUGAAACAUCUAAGUACCCCGAGGAAAAGAAAUCAACCGAGAUUCCCCCAGUAGCGGCGAGCGAACGGGGAGCAGCCCGGAGUCUGAAUCAGCUUGUGUGUUAGUGGAAGCGUCUGGAAAGUCGCAGGGUACAGGGUGAUACUCCCGUACACUAAAACACACAGGUUGUGAACUCGAAGAGUAGGGCGGGACACGUGGUAUCCUGUCUGAAUAUGGGGGGACCAUCCUCCAAGGCUAAAUACUCCUGACUGACCGAUAGUGAACCAGUACCGUGAGGGAAAGGCGAAAAGAACCCCGGCGAGGGGAGUGAAAAAGAACCUGAAACCGUGUACGUACAAGCAGUAGGAGCCCACUUGUUGGGUGACUGCGUACCUUUUGUAUAAUGGGUCAGCGACUUAUAUUCUGUAGCAAGGUUAACCGUAUAGGGGAGCCGCAGGGAAACCGAGUCUUAACUGGGCGUUAAGUUGCAGGGUAUAGACCCGAAACCCGGUGAUCUAGCCAUGGGCAGGUUGAAGGUUGGGUAACACUAACUGGAGGACCGAACCGACUAAUGUUGAAAAAUUAGCGGAUGACUUGUGGCUGGGGGUGAAAGGCCAAUCAAACCGGGAGAUAGCUGGUUCUCCCCGAAAGCUAUUUAGGUAGCGCCUCGUGAACUCAUCUUCGGGGGUAGAGCACUGUUUCGGCUAGGGGGUCAUCCCGACUUACCAACCCGAUGCAAACUACGAAUACCGAAGAAUGUUAUCACGGGAGACACACGGCGGGUGCUAACGUCCGUCGUGAAGAGGGAAACAACCCAGACCGCCAGCUAAGGUCCCAAAGUCAUGGUUAAGUGGGAAACGAUGUGGGAAGGCCCAGACAGCCAGGAUGUUGGCUUAGAAGCAGCCAUCAUUUAAAGAAAGCGUAAUAGCUCACUGGUCGAGUCGGCCUGCGCGGAAGAUGUAACGGGGCUAAACCAUGCACCGAAGCUGCGGCAGCGACACUAUGUGUUGUUGGGUAGGGGAGCGUUCUGUAAGCCGUUGAAGGUGGCCUGUGAGGGUUGCUGGAGGUAUCAGAAGUGCGAAUGCUGACAUAAGUAACGAUAAUGCGGGUGAAAAACCCGCACGCCGGAAGACCAAGGGUUCCUGUCCAACGUUAAUCGGGGCAGGGUGAGUCGACCCCUAAGGCGAGGCCGAAAGGCGUAGUCGAUGGGAAACAGGUUAAUAUUCCUGUACUCGGUGUUACUGCGAAGGGGGGACGGAGAAGGCUAUGUUGGCCGGGCGACGGUUGUCCCGGUUUAAGCAUGUAGGCGGAUGUUCCAGGUAAAUCCGGAACGUUACUAACGCUGAGGUGUGAUGACGAGGCACUACGGUGCUGAAGUGACAAAUGCCCUGCUUCCAGGAAAAGCCUCUAAGCAUCAGGUAACAUCAAAUCGUACCCCAAACCGACACAGGUGGUCAGGUAGAGAAUACCAAGGCGCUUGAGAGAACUCGGGUGAAGGAACUAGGCAAAAUGGUGCCGUAACUUCGGGAGAAGGCACGCUGAUGGUAGGUGAAGUGACUUGCUCAUGGAGCUGAAAUCAGUCGAAGAUACCAGCUGGCUGCAACUGUUUAUUAAAAACACAGCACUGUGCAAACACGAAAGUGGACGUAUACGGUGUGACGCCUGCCCGGUGCCGGAAGGUUAAUUGAUGGGGUUAUCCGUAAGGAGAAGCUCUUGAUCGAAGCCCCGGUAAACGGCGGCCGUAACUAUAACGGUCCUAAGGUAGCGAAAUUCCUUGUCGGGUAAGUUCCGACCUGCACGAAUGGCGUAAUGAUGGCCAGGCUGUCUCCACCCGAGACUCAGUGAAAUUGAACUCGCUGUGAAGAUGCAGUGUACCCGCGGCAAGACGGAAAGACCCCGUGAACCUUUACUAUAGCUUGACACUGAACACUGGUCCUUGAUGUGUAGGAUAGGUGGGAGGCUUUGAAGUGUGGACGCCAGUCUGCAUGGAGCCAUCCUUGAAAUACCACCCUUUAAUGGCUGGUGUUCUAACGUGGGCCCCUGAUCGGGGUUGCGGACAGUGUCUGGUGGGUAGUUUGACUGGGGCGGUCUCCUCCUAAAGAGUAACGGAGGAGCACGAAGGUCAGCUAAUCCUGGUCGGACAUCAGGAGGUUAGUGCAAUGGCAUAAGCUGGCUUGACUGCGAGCGUGACGGCGCGAGCAGGUGCGAAAGCAGGUCAUAGUGAUCCGGUGGUUCUGAAUGGAAGGGCCAUCGCUCAACGGAUAAAAGGUACUCCGGGGAUAACAGGCUGAUACCGCCCAAGAGUUCAUAUCGACGGCGGUGUUUGGCACCUCGAUGUCGGCUCAUCACAUCCUGGGGCUGAAGUAGGUCCCAAGGGUAUGGCUGUUCGCCAUUUAAAGUGGUACGCGAGCUGGGUUUAGAACGUCGUGAGACAGUUCGGUCCCUAUCUGCCGUGGGCGCUGGAGAAUUGAGGGGGGCUGCUCCUAGUACGAGAGGACCGGAGUGGACGCAUCACUGGUGUUCGGGUUGUCAUGCCAAUGGCAUUGCCCGGUAGCUAAAUGCGGAAGAGAUAAGUGCUGAAAGCAUCUAAGCACGAAACUUGCCCCGAGAUGAGUUCUCCCUGACCCUUUAAGGGUCCUGAAGGAACGUUGAAGACGACGACGUUGAUAGGCCGGGUGUGUAAGCGCAGCGAUGCGUUGAGCUAACCGGUACUAAUGAACCGUGAGGCUUAACCUU